UACGAAGGGGACUAGCGUUGUUCGGAAUCACUGGGCGUAAAGCGCACGUAGGUGGAUUUGUAAGUCAGGGGUGAAAUCCCGGGGCUCAACCUCGGAACUGCCUUUGAUACUGCGAAUCUUGAGUCCGAUAGAGGUGGGUGGAAUUCCUAGUGUAGAGGUGAAAUUCGUAGAUAUUAGGAAGAACACCGGUGGCGAAGGCGGCCCACUGGAUCGGUACUGACACUGAGGUGCGAAAGCGUGGGGAGCAAACAGG
RNAcentral lists this ribosomal RNA (253 nucleotides) under uncultured Hyphomicrobium sp. Its description in RNAcentral is "partial 16S ribosomal RNA". It matches the Rfam family "Bacterial small subunit ribosomal RNA", at positions 524 to 776 of the family's 1533-position model. Lineage: Bacteria; Pseudomonadati; Pseudomonadota; Alphaproteobacteria; Hyphomicrobiales; Hyphomicrobiaceae. The record is from RNAcentral.